GUCUAAAAUAUCAAGCUCAACGGCUCACUCAAGAGCCAACCCUCACAAACCUUCCUAAAAACUAAAAGAGCUAUUACUGAGUCUCAGCGAAUCUUGCCAUGAUCAGCUCUUCCCAGAAGAGAAGGAAGACCAAGGAAAUGAUUUGCUCAGGAUGAGGAAUGAAGAUGGCCAUCUUGUGCUCAAACAAACAGAAGUCCUCUGAUGAUCUCAUCAGCCAAAUGAGGGGUUUUGACCAAGUGAUGCUCUUGAAAGGAGUGAAAGAAGAGGAUGUGCUAAAUUCUCUUCAGAGAAAAAGCUUCUCAAAAGGUCUCAAACCAGCUUGAAGAAUGGUCUGGGAUCUUAGGACUGAGAAAUCCUCUGACUGAGAGAAGCUACACCACAUCAGUGCUGGAUAUCAACCACAAACUGUUUCCAGACACGAGAGAAGAAGAACACGAUGGGGAGAUGAAACCAGUUUAGAUGUGAUGAUGGGAAUCAUUAUUUUCUGAAACAGUAUCACAUGUCUUAUAUGUAUCACAUGAUCUGUAUCACAGUUGACUGGAUGGGACUGUGUGACUUUUAAGGACAUUUCAUCACUCAUCUGUGUGAACUGAUUUAUAUAUGAGGUUAAUGUAUUUUUGAUGAUAAUUAUUUUCAUUGAAUCUUAUUUGUCUUGAUGCUACUUUAUCAACUUUAUAGUCUAUGCUUCAAUAAAAUGAAAAUGGUGAAUAUUGUGUUCUGAAGAUUCUUGGUAAAUACAUAAUUUUACUAGGUAGGCUCAUAUGUGUUUAUUUUAGACUUGGAAAAACAACAUAUUAAUUAUUGGGAUUAUUUUUUUAUUUAAGACAUAAACAUUUUUGAUCGGAUUAAUAACAUCUGGGACAUCAGUACACCAGAAAGUAAUUUUUUUAUAUUUUAGUAACAAAUAUGCACAUUUUUUAGUGAAAUAAAGGGAGUUACGAGAUUAAUUAUUCUGCAUUACAAGAUGGUGCCAUGGGCUUUAUUGUUACAAACACUUGAGGGAUAACUGAGAAUGUAGCAGGAAUGAUCAACGUGGAUCUUGUACUGCAUUAAAACCAAGAGCAGGCACAUUACUGAUGUCCAGCACCUGAGGAGCAAGAUACGGGGGUGAG
Carassius gibelio (silver crucian carp) is the source of this 1112-nucleotide long non-coding RNA. RefSeq lists it as uncharacterized. Lineage: Eukaryota; Metazoa; Chordata; Actinopteri; Cypriniformes; Cyprinidae. The transcript has 4 exons. The record is from RefSeq and is a predicted model, not a curated record.